AUUCAUCAUCCACCUAUCUUGAGGCUAGCUAGCAUUCCAUUAUCCAAGCUCCAAAGCGGAAAGGGAGAAGCACUCUUCGUUUAUCCGGCAACUCUUCUUACCGGCAGCUCCCACGCCCCAGGCCCAAGCAAGCCAUCAUCUCAGGUACUGCACGCAAAUCCAAUUGUUGCAAAGAAUGCAGACAGACAGAUAUUCAAAAGGGUGGUGAGAUGAGAGCCGUCUUAUUCUUUUACGCGAAAGUUGAUAUCAUCAGAUGGAACUGAACAUAAUCACAUAGGAGCUCUGGAAGGCGGCACCGCACUGUUCGUGCUGCUAUUCUCUCUGAUGGAUCGCGAUGAAGUAAGUCGAUGUGUCAACGUUCAAGUCUUCAACAGUCUGAUCUCAAAGGUUGAAGCUGCUUGAUACUAGUAUUGAGGCCGUGGCGUAUCCUCAUAUCAACUCUAUGGCGGAGCUCGCAAUAUUAGCAG
This is a long non-coding RNA of Phragmites australis (common reed), 467 nucleotides long. RefSeq lists it as uncharacterized. The record is from RefSeq and is a predicted model, not a curated record. Lineage: Eukaryota; Viridiplantae; Streptophyta; Magnoliopsida; Poales; Poaceae. The transcript has 4 exons.